This 543-nucleotide long non-coding RNA is filed under the name Helianthus annuus (common sunflower). RNAcentral's name for it is "sRNA HanXRQr2_Chr05g0230321". Lineage: Eukaryota; Viridiplantae; Streptophyta; Magnoliopsida; Asterales; Asteraceae. The record is from RNAcentral.
GGUGUGUGUGUGGGUGUCGACCGUAGCAAGAUAAGAGAGGGGAAAACCCUCAAGCUUAACAAAUUCAGCAAAUUGAAGAUGAUUCAAGGACAAAUUCGAAUGCAUGUCUUUAAUUUCUCAAUCAUCUAAGUAUCCUCAACCCUAGUGUGCGUAUGUAAUGGAUAUUGUGAAAGCUAAACGUGAAAUGUUUCACCCUAUGGGCGAAGAAAGAAGAAGGUACAAGUCAAUCCAAGGCGCUAGGAAAGCGAGAUCACGGUAAAUAUCAUCCUUUAUAAUGGCGAGCCUAGAUCGAACACACUACAACUCAUGCCCAAAAAUGCGCUUCCGUAAAAGUUUUUGUGUCAAAUGGGUCAAAUCUCUCUUUUGGUUUGUAAGAUGUUCCUUUGUAUUUAAGGUCAGUUGUAAAUAAAUUAGUUGAUGGUUAUGGUUAGUUAGUUUUGAACUAAUGUAGUUUAAAAGUUAUGAUGGUCGUAAAUGUCAUAACUAGCCGUAAAGGGUAUUUUCAUGAAAUUGUAUGUGCCAAAAUGAAAGUUUUAAAUUUUU